This 603-nucleotide long non-coding RNA is filed under the name Phascolarctos cinereus (koala). RNAcentral describes it as "lncRNA (ENSPCIG00000025103.2)". The record is from RNAcentral. Lineage: Eukaryota; Metazoa; Chordata; Mammalia; Diprotodontia; Phascolarctidae.
GGGCUCUCAGGAGGCUGGAGAAACAGAGACAGCACCAGUGGGAAGCUCCGGUCCCCGUUACCGUCCCAGCUUCAGCCCCCAGUGCCUCCUGAGGGGCUUGUAAAGGAAGCCAGCUGUGGCAACAGCCUUUUAGAGAUGCUUCAGAGCUGGCUGAGAGCGUCUGAGGGGCCCCCAGACUGACAGGAACCUCUGUCUUUAAAACACUGCCUGGCAUCACCUCUGCAAUGACAUCCCCUCUCCUGCGCCCUGACCCUUAACGCCUAAAGUUUGGGAGAGGCUGAUAAAGCUUUUUCAGCAGUUCUGAUUCGGUUAGGAGACAGCAUGGCCCCUGGGGAUUGCUCCACCUCCAUCCAUCACUUCCCAUUUUCUACUGCAUCUCCAGGCCAUGGGAAGAGGGCUCUCCUGACUUCUGGCCACACUUGAGGAAGGUUCACCAUCAGGGAGAGCUGCCCAAGUGCACAGAGACAGUCCUACGCCCAGAACCAAAACAAGAAGCUGGCUUUCCCUGGGGGCAUUUGCUGCCAGACUCUCCAUGAUCGGAAACAUCCUCUGGGAAGACUUCAAGGGAGACUGCGUAAGUCUAAAGUGUCUCUUCAUUCCCCA